GAAGAGCUCGCUUGAGCUUUAUUUAUGCUCCCUCGGCGCAUCGGAUUCGGCUGCUCGCGAGCUGCUUUCUCUCCUCUUCCCUUUCCGGGUGCACGGCGAGGAGAAAGUCUCUAUGCAACUCAGCCCCGGCGCGCGCUUGGCCAGGUAUGUACUGCGGGCGCGGCGCGUUCUGCGCGGAAGCAGAUGCUGCUGCCGCCACGGCGGCGGCGGCUGCCAGCUCCUGGGCUCUGUAACUGUCACACCGCACCUGAGCUGAACUUGAAAAGAGAGUGAAGGGGCGACUGGGCGAACGCUUUUGGCAGACACAGAGGGUGUUUGUAGACGUGGGGGAGGAGGAUCUGUAUUAACGCCCCCCACCGUACCCACUGCACAUCACCUCCAUCUCUGCAAAUACAGCCCGAGGAGUAGAGGCAGCAGCAGCUGGACCCCCAAAGAGAGACGUGGGGCAGCGGCUGUGACCGUAUCUCCUGAGCUACAACAACAGGUCGCCUUGUUGAGACUCCUUUGGCGGGAAGGGCUACUUGGAAAGGAAGGUUUGAAAGAGUGAGAAGGGUAGGUGGAAGGAUUCCCUAAUUCGUCGAAAUAAUUCUAUUGGGUGACUCUCGUUCGUCUUCUCUAUCCUACACUCCACAUACUGACCCCAUAUUAUCCAGACUGUGCCAGGGGAGAAAUCAAAGACACCUGUUUGAAGAAACGACUGCACCUGUGUGCUUAUUUGUGCCAGAGGGUGGCCUGGCCCACCUGCUGGAAGCGGUUUGGCUAGGUUCUGUUGGGGGCGAUUGUUAAGACGUUGUAUUUUGUUGUCAUUACUCCAAACACCUGUCUUGGAGGGAAACUUGCCCUUCUGAGAACUGUGACUUUACCAGAAGCCCUAU
Molecule: long non-coding RNA, 875 nt
Organism: Cercocebus atys (sooty mangabey)
Lineage: Eukaryota; Metazoa; Chordata; Mammalia; Primates; Cercopithecidae
Exons: 1
Source: RefSeq, a predicted model, not a curated record